GUCCACGCCCUAAACGAUGAUCACUGGGUGUUGGGGAAGCGAUUCCUUGGUACCGUAGCUAACGCGUGAAGUGAUCCGCCUGGGGAGUAUGGUCGCAAGAUUAAAACUCAAAGGAAUUGACGGGGACCCGCACAAGCGGUGGAUGAUGUGGAUUAAUUCGAUGCAACGCGAACAACCUUACCUACCCUUGACAUGUCCGGAACCCUGCUGAGAGGUGGGGGUGCCCGAAAGGGAAUCGGAACACAGGUGCUGCAUGGCUGUCGU
RNAcentral lists this ribosomal RNA (264 nucleotides) under uncultured bacterium. Its description in RNAcentral is "partial 16S ribosomal RNA". It matches the Rfam family "Bacterial small subunit ribosomal RNA", at positions 793 to 1055 of the family's 1533-position model. The record is from RNAcentral.